GCCUGCGGAGGGAUCAUUACUGAGUUUACGCUCUAUAACCCUUUGUGAACAUACCUAUAACUGUUGCUUCGGCGGGUAGGGUCUCCGUGACCCUCCCGGCCUCCCGCCCCCGGGCGGGUCGGCGCCCGCCGGAGGAUAACCAAACUCUGAUUUAACGACGUUUCUUCUGAGUGGUACAAGCAAAUAAUCAAAACUUUUAACAACGGAUCUCUUGGUUCUGGCAUCGAUGAAGAACGCAGCGAAAUGCGAUAAGUAAUGUGAAUUGCAGAAUUCAGUGAAUCAUCGAAUCUUUGAACGCACAUUGCGCCCGCCAGCAUUCUGGCGGGCAUGCCUGUUCGAGCGUCAUUUCAACCCUCAAGCUCUGCUUGGUGUUGGGGCCCUACAGCUGAUGUAGGCCCUCAAAGGUAGUGGCGGACCCUCCCGGAGCCUCCUUUGCGUAGUAACUUUACGUCUCGCACUGGGAUCCGGAGGGACUCUUGCCGUAAAACCCCCAAUUUUCCAAAGGUUGACCUCGGAUCAGGUAGGAAUACCCGCUGAACUUAAGCAUAUCAAA
This 553-nucleotide ribosomal RNA is filed under the name Colletotrichum gloeosporioides. RNAcentral describes it as "eukaryotic LSU rRNA". The stretch from base 192 to 345 matches the Rfam family "5.8S ribosomal RNA". The record is from RNAcentral. RNAcentral also lists the same sequence under 1 other name. Lineage: Eukaryota; Fungi; Ascomycota; Sordariomycetes; Glomerellales; Glomerellaceae.